UACGGGGGGGGCAAGCGUUGUUCGGAAUUACUGGGCGUAAAGGGCUCGUAGGCGGCCAACUAAGUCGGAUGUGAAAUCCCCAAGCUUAACUUGGGAACUGCAUCCGAUACUGGAUGGCUUGAAUCCGGGAGAGGGAUGCAGAAUUCCAGGUGUAGCGGUGAAAUGCGUAGAUAUCUGGAGGAAUACCGGUGGCGAAGGCGGCAUCCUGGACCGGCAUUGACGCUGAGGGGCGAAAGCUAGGGGAGCAAACGGG
Molecule: ribosomal RNA, 253 nt
Filed under: uncultured bacterium
Lineage: Bacteria
Description: partial 16S ribosomal RNA
Rfam family: Bacterial small subunit ribosomal RNA
Source: RNAcentral